RNAcentral lists this ribosomal RNA (254 nucleotides) under uncultured bacterium. RNAcentral's name for it is "partial 16S ribosomal RNA". It matches the Rfam family "Bacterial small subunit ribosomal RNA", at positions 524 to 776 of the family's 1533-position model. The record is from RNAcentral.
UACGUAGGGGGCGAGCGUUGUCCGGAUUUACUGGGCGUAAAGAGCUCGUAGGCGGUGUGUCGCGUCGGCCGUGAAAACCUGCAGCUUAACUGUGGGCUUGCGGUCGAUACGGGCAUCACUGGAGUUCGGCAGGGGAGACUGGAAUUCCUGGUGUAGCGGUGAAAUGCGCAGAUAUCAGGAGGAACACCGGUGGCGAAGGCGGGUCUCUGGGCCGAUACUGACGCUGAGGAGCGAAAGCGUGGGGAGCGAACAGG